CUGCUUUGAAUGGUUUUUAAACCGUCUCUCCAAAGCAAGUCCCUGCAGCCAUAGGGUCCUGUGACCAUAGGGAUGAAGAUCCGAGGGUCGUAGUAUGGCCCGCAGGCUUGCAGACAGAUCCUUGCCGGGGAGCCCGGGUGCCAGUGUGGGAAGCUGCGAUGCUUGGGUCCGGCCCGCAGACCGGUGAAGCAUUCAGCACUCCACACAGGGAUGGGAAGAUCCCUGGAGGGCGGGGAACGCUGGUCCUGCAAAACCAUUCCUCACGCAUCUUGCAGACCAAAGCAGUAGGCACCCCGCUAAAGGACACCAGCAGAUCUCUGCAAGCAGAUCUCAACAGGAAGGAGAGCAGUCAAGAUUUCCUUUCAUUUCCCAGCUCCUCACCACAGCAGCCCCCAUCUUCCCCUCCCUCCACACUAAGGUCGUUGUACAUGUGCCUUGGGUCUCAGCCGGCUCACCGUCUCUCCACAGUCACCAAAGAGAACCACGGGUCAUCAGAGGAAGCAGCUUUUAUUGAUGAGUUAUCUCCAGAGACCAAAAAGACUCUGCACCCACUUUCCAGCCUGCUUCCCAUCCUUCCUGGAUCUCACAUUGUUCCACCUGGGGAAGGGAUAUGACUUGCCUUGGUUUUCCAAAGCCCCCGUCUUUCCCCUCCCUGUGUAGCCUUAGAAAUUCAGUGGCGAUUGUGUUGUUUAUUUUUUUCAGCAAUGCCCGAUGCGGCUACUUAGUAACAAUUAUGGGUGGAGGGGCUUGGGGGGGGAAGCAGGUGGAUGAGUAGGAGUGAGGCACAGAAACAGGAACAGAACAUAGCCCGUCAAAGGUCCCUCUGUCCUGCCUCAGUGGCUUGAUCCUUCAUGGGUUGCCUUUCUCUUUAUGCUGAAUCACGCCCUUCUGAAUCAGAUCGGGGAUUUCCACUGCCAGCCAUGGACCCAGCUGCAACACAAGGGAGACCCUGUGAGAUUACCACCACCGAGUCAGUGCCUCUUGUCCCAUCAGAAGCUCCUUCCUAGACAGAUUUUUAUGAGCGUGCCCACGGAAAACACUGUUAUUCCCUGUUUACUCUCAGUUACUUUUCUUACAUUGCUCAGUGCCUAAUUCCUCUCCCUCCCCUAAUAUGCCAAAUAUCCCAAACUUACCCCCAGAGCCAUGAGAUGAGCUAGUCCAAACUUGGGCACGUUCCUGGCCCACAAAGGCUUAAAGUGAUCAGUCAGGCAUAUUUUGCCACCCCUAUGAGAGGGACAGGAGGAAGCAGGUGUUGACAUGCAAGGUUUACCAUAAAGCAUAGCAGCCUCUUGGAAGCACAAGAUGAUAGCCAGUGAUCAGAAUUAGGCCCAAGGUUAGCUGAGUACUUUGCCCAGGUGCGGUAGAGGGGAGCCUGGAGGCCUUCUAGGCGCUAGGACAAUUGUUGUCUCCCAGAGGUCUUCCCUAAGGCCUCUUAGACCUUUUCCCAUCUCCUUUUGAGUCCUACCUGUACAUCUUUGCUGUUUUUCCAUCCAGUUCAGGGACUGCAAUUUCUGGAGCAGUAGUGGGGUAUGUGAUAGGAAUCUGGAGGAAAUAUAAGGCCUUAAUGACACAAGCAUCGGGAUAGAAAGGAACUAAUCUAAUCACGCGUAUCUCUUGGUUGAACUGAAAUGUGCGACAAACCCCCCAAGCAGCAUGCCGACGCAGGGAUGCUGGACAUGGAGAGGAGUAGCUGUCCUCUCUGCUUGCUCCAAUCCUUAGCGUUUCCCUCCCAUUUUGAAAGUUUUCUCUGGUUCCUCCAAGAAAGGUUAGCUUGUUAACAGCCACCUAAUCCCUCCCCUUCCACUAACUUCCAUUUUCCCAUUCCAUCAGACUUACGUCAAACUCAAUGUCAAACUCAUAUUUGAGCAGGUCAUGGAUGUACCAGCAUUUUCCAAACCACCUGUAACAAAGACCAAACCUCAGUCCAAUCUGCCCAUUCUUCUCAUGCUCAAAUAACAUCUUCUUGGCUUAGGUGAUCAGCCUGGGAGACUCAUGGGAUGGGAACUGGGGCACUCUGGACUGUGGGCGGGAGACAGCUAAUAGGAGGCAGGGAAGGCCUGGCAGUGGGCUCUGGGACUUUAAAGUGCUCAAGCCAUGUAAGAUUCCCACCCCCCCAAACGACCAAGAGGGUCUGCCUACCGAGUCCCUUCCUUGUUGGACUCCAGUCGGAACCAAUCAUUGUCGGCAUUCUUGUUGUUCUCCACAUACUAAAAGCAGAGAAUGAGGUCUUUGAGGAGGGAGUUGAGGCCAAGGGCAGUCCUCUUCCCUCAACAGAAAAGUGUGUGGUUACUUUCUUAGUGUGUACCCAACUUUUUUUUUUUUUUAAAGCUCAUUUAUUUUGAGAGAGCAUGCACACAAGUGGGGGAGGAGGAGAGAUAAAGGCAGAGAGAGAGAGAGAGAGAGAGAGAGAGAGAGAGAGAGAGAGAGAGAGAAAAUCCCAAGCAGGCUCCUCGCCAACAGCGCAGAGCCUGACUCGGACUGCAUCCCAUGAAUCAUGAGAUCGUGACCUGAGUCAGAAGCUUAACCAACUGAACCACCCAGGUGCCCCUGUAAGUUGAAAUGUUUACUUUCCCUUCACAGGCACCUCAAACUCAGCAUUUCCCCCUGGUCCUUCAGACCAUUUCUCCACUGCACCAAUUUCGAUGACCGCAUUCACUUAGUCAUGCAAACCAAACCCUGGGAAUCAUCCUUGACCUUCCCUCUCCUCUCCUCUCCCCAGACCUUCACGAUGUCCUGCUGAUUUUACCCUUUGAAGGUUCUUCGAAUCUACCUCUUCUCUCUAUCCUAACUAUACCCAUCCGGCUUAGAUCAUCACCUUUCUUUCGCCUGGAUUAAUGACAGCCUCCUAAAUUUGCUUCCUCCCUUCAAUCUCAUCUCUUUCAAUUCCAUUUUCCUCUCCACUGCCAUUGUGACUGACCUAACCCCAAUCUGACCAUGCCAUCCCUCGGCUUAAAAUACCGUAAAGGUAUCCCAGUGCCUACAACAGAAAUUUCAAGAGCCCAAGCCGAUCUCUCAAGCCUUGUCUACCAUUCCCCGCCAUACACUUGACGCUUUAGCAACUCUGAACUGCUUCCAUUUCUAUGUUUCUUCAUAGGCAUCGUGCCCUUUCUAGCUUCUAUGCUUUUGCUCAUGCUGUUUCUUUUCCCGUCAACAUCUUUCUCUUAUCCUCAUGUUGAUCAGAUUAUGUUUACCCUUUCAGGCUCAGCUCAAGCACUGCCUCUUCGAGGAAGCCCUCCCGGACAAGACCCAAGCUGGAUUAGGUGUCUCACCUUCUGCUCUCAAAACAUCCUAGCGAUCUUUCCCUCCCCCUCUGCCGCCCCUUAACGAAUUGUAAUGAUUUGUUUCUAUCCAUCUCAGCAGGCUCCAGCUUAUUCGGCUUUGGAUCCCGUUCCUAGGUGCUAGGUUACAAUAAAUGUGGUGGGUGUUUGUUUGUUUGUUUGUUUGUUUUUUAGCGAAUAACGUGCUGCUGCCCUUUGAAACAGAGGCCACGGCAAGGAAGACAAACUUUCUUCCUUUUCCACAGAAGGGAGAUGAGCCGGGAAGAUAGCUCAUUCCUGACUGUGAGCUUCACUCCUCAACUCUUGGCAACUAACGCCUGAAUUUUCAGCCUUAGCCUGUGCCUCCCUCAGGAAGAGUGAAGGAAGGAGCAGAGCGAUGAGCCAGGGACUUGGAGCCCCAGGAAUCCCUUUUGACUGCCUCCCCUCCAUCCAGGAGGGGGACACCUUUUGACUGCCUCCCCUCCAUCCAGGAGGGACACGUCACCUUCCGGGGAGGCGUAUCCCUAAGACAACUGCUGCUUUGGCCCCGCCUGGGCUCCCAAAAUGAGUUUCCUUUGCCCCCUCCCCACCAUACCUUCCUAAGCCCCCCCCCCCAGCCCCACAAUCGUCCAGUUUCUCUGAAUUUGGGACUUAAACUUUAUAACCGGAAGCGGCUUCCACACGGAGCGUAUUCCCAAGGACACCCGAUUACCCGCAACCCUUCGGCGACGCGGUCGGCCGCAGAAGCACAACUAACCCGGAUAAGAGACUGAUAUUCCUCUUUGAGUCGCUGCACCCACAACUCACGAUCUCGAGGUCCGGCGUUAGUCUUCAGCACCGGGAUCUCAGACACCACACGCCGGGUAGCCUCGUCCGCCAUCUUGGACGAGGGCGCCAGAGAAACGCGGAAGUGGUACUCCCUGCAGUUUACACUCAGGGGGCCGCCAUCUUUACUGUGGGAAGAUGGGCUGUUGGGCUGCCUUCGGACUUCUUUGAGUGCGGUCUUUAUUUUCUUGUAACGAAGACAAAUUUGUCACCUGGUCACUUGUGGGUGCAACGGAAAAAAGAGAACGUAACGGAUUGCUUCUUUAUAUGGUACCUAUUAUUUAAAAAACCCGCA
This 4377-nucleotide long non-coding RNA is filed under the name Lynx pardinus (Iberian lynx). The record is from RNAcentral. Lineage: Eukaryota; Metazoa; Chordata; Mammalia; Carnivora; Felidae.